CCUACGGGUGGCAGCAGUGAGGAAUAUUGGUCAAUGGGCGGAAGCCUGAACCAGCCAAGUAGCGUGCAGGAUGACGGCUCUACGGGUUGUAAACUGCUUUUAUACGGGAAUAACGCGCCUUACGUGUAGGGCUUUGCAUGUACCGCAUGAAUAAGGACCGGCUAAUUCCGUGACAGCAGCCGGGGUAAUACGGAAGGUCCGGGCGUUAUCCGGAUUUAUUGGGUUUAAAGGGAGCGUAGGGCGCAUGUCAAGCGUGCGGUGAAAUGUUCGGGCUCAACCCGGGCCUUGCAGCGCGAACUGGCGUGCAUGGGUCCGCGGAAAGCAGGCGGAAUUCGUGGUGUAGGGGUGAAAUGCUUGGAUAUGA
RNAcentral lists this ribosomal RNA (364 nucleotides) under uncultured bacterium. RNAcentral's name for it is "partial 16S ribosomal RNA". It matches the Rfam family "Bacterial small subunit ribosomal RNA", at positions 338 to 699 of the family's 1533-position model. The record is from RNAcentral.